AGCGAACGCUGGCGGCAGGCUUAACACAUGCAAGUCGAACGGAUCCUUCGGGAUUAGUGGCGGACGGGUGAGUAACACGUGGGAACGUGCCUUUUGGUUCGGAACAACACAGGGAAACUUGUGCUAAUACCGGAUGUGCCCUUCGGGGAAAGAUUUAUCGCCAUUAGAGCGGCCCGCGUCUGAUUAGCUAGUUGGUGAGGUAAAGG
Molecule: ribosomal RNA, 206 nt
Filed under: uncultured bacterium
Lineage: Bacteria
Description: partial 16S ribosomal RNA
Rfam family: Bacterial small subunit ribosomal RNA
Source: RNAcentral